GUACACGCUGUGACUAGCAUAUCAAUAAGCGGAGGAAAAGAAACUAACAAGGAUUCCCCUAGUAACGGCGAGUGAAGCGGGAAGAGCUCAAAUUUGAAAUCUUAAAGGGUUUCCCUUUACGAAUUGUAGUUUAAAGAAGUGUUUUUCUGUUGAGGUUUUGGUAAAAGUUCUUUGGAAUAGGACAUCAUAGAGGGUGAGAAUCCCGUAUUUGACCUUUACUUUCAACUUUGUGAUACACUUUCAAAGAGUCGGAUUGUUUGGGAAUGCAGUCCAAAAUGGGUGGUAAAUUUCAUCUAAAGCUAAAUAUUGGCGAGAGACCGGUAGCGAACAAGUACCGUGAGGGAAAGAUGAAAAGAACUUUGAAAAGAGAGUUAAACAGUACGUGAAAUUGUCAAAAGGGAAGCGUUUGACACCAGUGUUGUUUUUCUGAAAAUCAAUUAAAGAACUGUUUAUGCUAAGUUGUUUAGACUUUAUCAGCUAUCUGUUUAGUUUUGAGCUUUUCUUUAAUGCACUUUUCAGUUAACAAGUCAACAUCAAUUUCUUUUGCUGUAAAAAAGCUUGAGGAAGGUGGCUUGAGAUUCGUCUUAAGUGUUUAUAGCCUCUUGCCUAUGCAGUCGGAGAGAUUGAGGUCUGCAGCGUAGAUCCUUCGGGGCUAAAUGCAUUUGUGCUAAGUUAUAGCAUUUUAUAGACAACUUGUUGACUAUGAUUUGUCUUGUAGCUUACUCGCUUAUGUUAUUUUACCUACGCUUAGGAUGUUGAAGAUGUAGCACAUCAU
Molecule: ribosomal RNA, 775 nt
Filed under: uncultured Neocallimastigales
Lineage: Eukaryota; Fungi; Neocallimastigomycota; Neocallimastigomycetes; Neocallimastigales
Description: partial large subunit ribosomal RNA
Rfam family: Eukaryotic large subunit ribosomal RNA
Source: RNAcentral